AGAGGAAGUCCGUCUCCUACCUACCAUGUAUGGCUAGGAAGCACAUUUCAUCGGCUACAAUUGCAGAGUGAUUUCAUGGUGCAUAUUUACCACUUGAUGGAUCCAGCUCGCGUAAAGAUGUGCUCCUGGGAUUGGGUUACAAUGGAAUCAGAGUACCCUGCCCUGAUGUUCACUUGGGUGGGCAUCUACAAUAUUUGCUGUUUUCAUCAUAGUCAUCUUUUUUCUUUCAUUUAAAAAUCUAGAAUUAAUUAAGGCAUGCAUUACAAAACAAACCACAAAUGCAAACUAGAUGUAAUGUGUUGUAACUUGUAAUAUAUAGCAUGUGUGUAGAAACUUUGUUUUGCCGGACCAGAAAUGGAGCCUGACAGUAAAACAGUUCAGAAAUAUUACCCACAUAAGAGGGUUUAUCACCUCUGCUGUAACAUACUAUAUCAACAAAAAUGUUAUA
This is a long non-coding RNA of Siniperca chuatsi (mandarin fish), 448 nucleotides long. RefSeq lists it as uncharacterized. NCBI's taxonomy places the organism in Eukaryota, Metazoa, Chordata, Actinopteri, Centrarchiformes, Sinipercidae. The transcript is spliced from 2 exons. The record is from RefSeq and is a predicted model, not a curated record.